This is a long non-coding RNA of Leucoraja erinaceus (little skate), 4765 nucleotides long. RefSeq lists it as uncharacterized. The record is from RefSeq and is a predicted model, not a curated record. The transcript has 3 exons. NCBI's taxonomy places the organism in Eukaryota, Metazoa, Chordata, Chondrichthyes, Rajiformes, Rajidae.
UGCUUCUGUGACCUCACACCGCUGCUUUGAAGGACGACACGCAUGCGUCGUAAGCGGGGUUCUUCACGUAUUCCGUCAACGUUCCUCCUCAUAAAAUACAGAUCAAACUUCAAACUGGUAAGUUCUCGUUUAAUCUUACUAUUAUUGUCACUACAUCCAAGCGGGUCCUUUACCUUGAGUUCCUUCAUUACAUCUGGUUCAUUAGACAACACUAAAUCCAGAAUUUCGUUCCCUCUGGUAGGCUCCAGUACUAGCUGCUCUAAGAAUACAUCUCGGAGGCAUUCCACAAACUCCCUUUCUUGUGGUCCAGAACCAACCUGAUUUUCCUAGUCUACCUGCAUAUUGAAAUCUCCCACAAACUCCGUGGCAUUACCUUUGUUACAUGCCAAUUUGAACUCCUGCUGCAACUUGCACGUUAUAUCCAGGCUACUAUUUGGGGGCCUGUAGAUAAUUCCCAUUAGUAUCUUCUUACAUUUACAACGUCUCAAUUCUAUCCACAGCGACUCUGCGUCGUCAGUCCCUAUGUCACCCCUCGCAAGGGACUGAACUUCAUCCCUCACCAACAGAACUUUCCCACCUGCCUGUCCUUUCUAUAGGAUGUAUAACCCUGAAUAUUCAGUCCCCAGCCAUGAUCCUCCUGCAGCCAUGUCUCUGUAAUCCCCACAAUGUCAUAUCUACCAAUCUCUAGCUGAGCCUCAAGCUCGUCCACUUUACUUCUUAUACUUCGUGCAUUCAUAUAUAAUACUUUUAGUCCAUUAUUCACCUCACCUUUCACAUCGAUUUAUAUUUCACUUGGCCAUACUCUCCUAUCCCUUUGUGAGUUUUCUGUCCCAUUCAUUCUGGUGUCUUUCUCAACUUUUCCUAUACUCUCUUUCCCUUUAACUCCAUUCUUGUAUUUCCAAUUUGUUUCCUCCCCACUCACUAUUAAGAUUUAACUACCGGUGUGGCAGUGGCAAACCUGCCUGUCAGAAUGCUGGUCCCCCGCCUGCAACCCGUCCCUUUUGUACUAUUCACCCUUACCCCAAAACAGACCCCAAUGGUCUAAGAAUCUAAAUCCCUGCUCCCUGCACCAGCUCCUCAGCCACACAUUGAGAUCCUCUGUCUCCCUGUUCCUUCCCUCACCAGCACAAGGAACUGGAAGAACAUCCGAGAUAAUCAACCUGGAGGUCCUGCUUUUCAGCCGCCUUCCGAGUUCUCUGAUGUCAAUAGACAAUAUGUGCAGGAGUAGGUCAUUCGGCCCUUCGGGCCAGCACCGCCAUUCAAUGUGAUCAGAGCUGAUCAUCCCCAAUCAGUACCCCGUUCCUGCCUUCUCUCCAUAUCCCCUGACUCCGCUAUUUUAAGAGCCCCAUCUAGCUCUCUCUCGAAACCUGCCUCCUGAGGCGAAUAAUUCCACAGACUCACCGCUCUCUGUGAGAAAAAAGUGUUUCCUCGUCUCCGUUCUAAAUGGCUUCCUCCUUAUUCUUAAACAGUGGCCCCUGGUUCUGGACUACCCCAAAAUCGGGAACAUGUUUCCUGCCUCUAGCGUGUCCAAACCCUUAACAAUCUUACAUGUUUCAAUGAGAUACCCUCUCAUCCUUCUAAAGUCCAGAGUGUACAAGCCCAGCUGCUCCAUUGUCUCAGCAUAUGACAGUCCCGCCAUCCCGGGUAUUAACCCUGUAAACCUACGCUGCACUCCCUCUAUAGCAAGAAUGUCCUUCCUCAAAUUAGGAGACCAAAACUGUACACAAUACUCCAGGUGUGGUCUCACUAGGGGUUUGUACAACUGCAGAAGGACCGCUUUGCUCUUAUAUUCGAUUCCUCUUGUUAUAAAGGCCAUCAUGCCAUUUGUUUUCUUCACUGCCUGCUGUACCUGCAUGAUUAUUUUCAUAGACUGAUGUACAAGGACCCCCCAGAUCCCGUUGUACUUCCCGUUUCCCAACUUGAUGUCAUUUAGAUAAAGUCACGUUGUGGAAUCUCUGUCCUCUUCGUCCCGACGUCAUGCGGGACCACUUCCGGCUGCUCACCUUCACCCUUGAGGAUGCUCUACAAUGGGUCCAUGACGUCCUGGAUCCUGGCACCAGGGAGGCAACACGUCAUCCUUGACUCCCAUCUGUUGCCGCUGAACCCCCUGUAUGUCCCCCUCACGAUGGAGUCCCCGACUACCACGGCUCUGCCUGACGUCUGUCUGUCUCUUCGGCUUUGGUUCAGCGCCACGUUUUGACCACGGAUCAUACAGCGGGUCGGCUCUGUCAUCUUUGGGUAGCAUCUUUCACACACAGGGCGGAGCUGAGAAUCUCCCAAUACAAUGGAGCUGAUCAGAUUCGCAGCUUGGGAUUCGUUGAAUUUAAAGCAAAAAACACCCCCCCGCCCCAUUGGUCCGAAUGCAAGAGCAAAGACAGACGUUGUGAAAUCUACACGGAAAUCCAGGCAGAAAAUCAUUGCGACGGUGAGAACCACAGCAGUUUGGAACUCUUGAAUCAUCAUGGCUGAAGAUAGGGGAGGAGAUACAGUGACGUCUACAUCAAGUCAACAGAAAGCUCCUCCAAUGUCUUCGAUGACGGAGCUCCUGGAAAGGUGUGAUGAUUCGCAGCUGCUGGAUUUGACAAAUCACUAUCGCGAGAGGCUGGAAGAGGCGAUUCAAGAGGCGGUGAAGAAUGUCAUCUUCGUUCUAGCAUACAAGAGAUAUUUCAGUGAGCAAGAGUACAAGGUAGGGAGAGGAAUGGAUGAGUGGGUUACUUCAGCCGAUACUCAAAUAUUUUUAUGCACAAAUAUUGUGGGCCGAAGGGUCCAUUCAUGUGCUGUACUGCUCUCUAUAAUUACAGCUCAGUAUGGCACAGUCACAAAGAAUAUCCCGUACAGUGGUGGUGAGUUUCUCAAACACGCCAUUAUAUUCAGGAUGUGGUGUAAUACACUGAUACAACACAAAGCAUUUCAAUGAUUCACAUCAUUGAAAAUGCAAAUCAGCUAGCAAAUCUUUAAAACACUCGCGACACAACAGUUAUAUGGGCAUUUUACUUUUUGGGGAUAAUUAAUAGAUGAUCAACUUCUCUUCGCAGUCUUACAUCCUUGUUUUUCCCCAGUCAUUUUUAAUCUUCUCUGCAAAAUGGGUACAAUUAAAGCCUUAUGUUAUUUCCUGGUGAGUCUUAUUAGCCCCAGCCAGGUUUACAAACUCCUAUAUUUUUCAUUAUCCGGCCAGCUAUGCUUUACAAUGUAAACAUUUUCUGAAUCUAUAAUUGCCUUUCCCAGUAUCACCCAGUGCAAUUUACUUUCUAUAUGUUAGACAAUAGACAAUAGGUGCAGGUGUAUACCAUUCGGCCCUUCGUGCCAACACCGCCAUUCAAUGUGAUCAUGGCUGAUCAUCCCCAAUCAGUACCCCGUUCCUGCCUUCUCGCUAUAUCCCCUGACUACGCUAUUUUUAAGUCCUAUCUAGCUAUCUCAUGAGAGCAUCCAGAGAACCUGCCUCCAGCGCCCUCUGAGGCAGGGUAUUCCACAGACUCACCACUCUCUGAGGAAAAAGUGUUUCCUCGUCUCCAUUCUGAAUGGCUUACUUCAUAUUCUUAAACUGUAGCCCCUGGUUCUGGGCUCCCCCAACAUCGGGAAUAUGUUUCCUGCCUCUGGCGUGCCCAGCCCCUUAACAAUCUUAUGUGUUUCAAUCAGAUCCCUUCUCGUCCUUUGUUGACCAUUUUACCCCAACUGGCUUCCUUAUUAUUUAAACUCUUGGGUUAAACAUGUUACUAACUUAACUAACUUACUUAUUACUUAAAUUUCAGAAUGUCUUACAUCAACCAUUGGGCCAUUUCAUUUAAGAACUAUUGUCAACAAGAUGAUAGGUUUAAUAAUAAUUUAAGACAUCUAAUUAUUUGAGAAAGCUAUAACAAAUCAGACCAUGUUAACAUGCUUUAAUGAAGGCAAAUCACUUCUGACAAAUGUAUUUGAGCAGGUUGAAGAUUUAACCCGCAGAGUACAUAGAGGGGAACAGUGGGAAUUGCAGAUGCAGCAACCUUAAGCAAAAAAACAAAGUGUUUGAAACUGAAAUGGCAAUGGAAAUGAAAUAAAAUUGAGAUGAGUUGUUUGGCCUGUCCUAUGCUUGAAACUGAAAUUGCAAUGGAAAUGAAAGGACAUGAAAAUGUGAUGAGUUGUUUGAAGGGAUGGCAUCAAACAGGAAAUUAGUAAUGCUUGCAACAAAGGGAAAACAGUUAUAAUGGGUGACUUCAAUCUACAUAUAGAUUGGGUGAAUCAAAUUGGCAAGGGUGCUGAGGAAGAGGUUUUCUUGGAAUGUAUGAGGGAUAGUUUUCUAAACCAACAUGUAGAGGAACCAACGAGAGAGCAGGCUAUUCUAGAUUGGGUGCAGCUGAUUAUUCUAGAGAGAGCAGCUGAUUGUGAGUCAGAUCCCUGCUGAUUUCUCCCAGCAGUUUGUAUUGUAUUGUACUUGUAUCCAGGGUAAGGCGGGAGAAUGAGGGCUAGGGCAAUUUACUGUUCUGGAUGUCAGAUGUGGGAGGUCAUGGAGUCGGAUAGCCCUCCAGACGUCCACGUCUGCGCCAGGUGCAUCGAGAUGGGGCUCCUAAGGGCCGUAUUAGGAUCCUGGAGCAGCAGCUCGAUGACCUCUGUCUGGUCAGGGAGAGUGAGGAGGUCAUAGAGAUGAGUUAUAGGGAGGUGGUCACUCUAAAACCACGGGAGAGAGACAUGUGGGUCACGCCUAGGAAGGGCAAGGGGCAGAGGCAGGGACGAACGAGUACACCCGUGUCUGUACACCUUGAAAAUAAGUAAUCCUGUGUGAGUACGGUUG